GACGAACGCUGGCGGCGUGCCUAAUACAUGCAAGUCGAGCGCAGGAAAUCGACGGAACCCUUCGGGGGGAAGUCGACGGAAUGAGCGGCGGACGGGUGAGUAACACGUAAAGAACCUGCCCUCAGGUCUGGGAUAACCACGAGAAAUCGGGGCUAAUACCGGAUGGGUCAUCGGACCGCAUGGUCCGAGGAUGAAAGGCCCUUCGGCUGCGCCCGGGGCUGGCUUUGCGGUGCAUUAGCUAGUUGGUGGGGUAAUGGCCCACCAAGGCGACGAUGCAUAGCCGACCUGAGAGGGUGAUCGGCCACACUGGGACUGAGACACGGCCCAGACUCCUACGGGAGGCAGCAGUAGGGAAUCUUCCACAAUGGACGAAAGUCUGAUGGAGCAACGCCGCGUGAACGAUGAAGGCCUUCGGGUCGUAAAGUUCUGUUGUAAGGGAAGAACAAGUGCCGCAGGCAAUGGCGGCACCUUGACGGUACCUUGCGAGAAAGCCACGGCUAACUACGUGCCAGCCGCCGCAGUAA
Molecule: ribosomal RNA, 524 nt
Filed under: uncultured bacterium
Lineage: Bacteria
Description: partial 16S ribosomal RNA
Rfam family: Bacterial small subunit ribosomal RNA
Source: RNAcentral